AAUAACAUCAGUCAAACAAAUUGGAGAAAAUUGAGCUAAAUUGGAAAAAAAUUGGAAAACCAUAGAAAUAUUGAGUAUUUUAAUAAGAGCACCAAUUUGAUCAUUAGCUGUUGAUGAAUUAAUAGUUGAUUAGGUUUGGUUGCCAUAACUCCGAGCUCAAGCGACUAAGUUGUUUUUAAGAAACACUCAAUAUGUAGCGUGAGCCAGU
RNAcentral lists this unclassified non-coding RNA (208 nucleotides) under Aliivibrio wodanis. RNAcentral's name for it is "putative sRNA". The record is from RNAcentral. Lineage: Bacteria; Pseudomonadati; Pseudomonadota; Gammaproteobacteria; Vibrionales; Vibrionaceae.